AAUAAUUAAAAUAUUAGUAUACAAUUUUGAAUUCCAUUCUCAUCUGUGAGGUUAAAAAUCAGCAGGGGGGAACCCUUUGUGAGUUACAAGGAACGUAUAAGAAACCAGUACCCUCACACAGUAUUUAAGUGCUUUUGCAGUAGAACUUUGAAAUCCUAAUGUAGUGCUUUUAAAAAAGGCGGUUCCUGGGGAUAAGGGAAUAUGCAUGACCAUACCUCUUCGUAUUUGAGUGGCUCAAAUAUGUGCACUGAGACAGUGAACUAUGUAAAAUGCCUGAGAUACUUAAGCAUUUAGGAGAAUUUUUGGUUUGUUUUAACUGCUAGACUGGAAGGAGAGUAAAAAGCUUGGUAGUUCUAUCUAGUGAAGUUGAUUAUUGCUACCUUAUGUGACAUAAACCUAAAAUGCUAAACAUUCAUUAAAAAAAUUAAACCUACAAUGAAUUAAUGAAGUGGAUAAAUCCUCAACUCCAUCCACAUGAAUCCAUUGCAGAACUCAUGAUGAAAUUACCGUUUCCCAACCAAGCAGAAACCACUGAACACAUCCCUCACCAAACUACCCUGGGGCUUGGUCUGCAGAUUCCGAGUGUCAUAUACCACUGCUCUUUACCUUCAAUAAACAAAUGCUUCUACAGCAGUGGGCCUUGCUUUCAACCCAAAAGGGACACGAGCCCUGCUUGUGGAGUGAACUCCACUGGGGUGCGGCAAGGGAGGCUCUGCUCUGAGUCCCAGGAAUCUGGCUCAGGAACACCGAGACCAUUGUCUUUAGAGGCAACAAAAGGGGUUGUUGAAAAAACCAAGCUUUAAUAUAAAGCCAAAAAUCUGCGCUCAUCAUUUUGUGUUUCUUUGGCAUUGAAAUAUGGCAGCCACUCUCCGCUCCUGCUGCUGUUUAUAUUUAAAGGAGGCCUGCAGCCAUGGAAUGGGAGCCAGCUUUCAAUAUCUCACUCCUAAAAACAAAAACAAAAAAUCCCUCUAUCGUUUCUACUCAUGCGUCCUUUGACUUCCUGUCUGAACCUUUGGGGCUGGGGAGAUGGUGGUGAGUGACAGAUCAGCAGGAUUCUUCACACCAGAGCCUGAGAACUCUCCCGGACAAUUCUUUCAUAACCAGAUACACAUCUGUGUUUACUUGGAGGAGGGGGACAACAUUCCUUUGGCAUUGGGUCAGAUUUUCUUGUCUUCUUACAUAUGUAUAUAUAGAUAUAUAUAUGUUUUUCUGGUUCUAAUUGGACAAUUUCUGUUAAAUCUCAGGAACAGUGGAGUGUAAUCAUUGUGGAGUUUAUUUCAGCUUCUUGGCUGGCAGUUACAUUGGCCUCUAAUCGUGAGUGGUGGAGGAACUGCUGCAAUUACAUAACCUUUACCCUAACUGCCUGAAGAAUGACAGCUGAAGGGGAGGAGAAGCAUUUCUCAUGCUUGAAUUCAGGCUUUCCCAUCUACUUACAGUUAGGAACAGUCACACAUAUGCUUUCCCAUGCUCCACCUGAAGUGGCUCCUGUAUCAAACGUAGUAUCUGAAAUUUGAGAGGAAAGAAUAAAAGAGAGAAAUGGAGAACAAGAGGAAGAGAAGGAAGAAGAGAGGGUGUGUGGAUUUUUUACCUUGAGAUGCUUAUACAUGCAUGGCAGAGAAACAAAAACAAAUGACAUGAAAUGAUGCUGUGAGUUGGGAAAUUUUAUACAUUUAGUUGGCUCUGCUGAUUGUUCUAAUUACCAGUUCAUAUGGUUUCGCUGCAUGCCCACCCAAAUCUCAUCCUGAAUUGUAGUUCCCAUAAUCCCCACGUGUCAUGGGAGGGAUCCAG
Macaca mulatta (Rhesus monkey) is the source of this 1788-nucleotide non-coding RNA. The record is from RefSeq and is a predicted model, not a curated record. Lineage: Eukaryota; Metazoa; Chordata; Mammalia; Primates; Cercopithecidae.